UUACUACUCCCUCCGUCCGAAAAUACUUGUCAUCAAAAUGGAUAAAAAGAGAUGUAUGUAGAACUAAAAUACAUCUAGAUACAUCUCCUUUUAUCCAUUUUGAUGACAAGUAUUUCCGGACGGAGGGACUGUUUU
Triticum aestivum (bread wheat) is the source of this 135-nucleotide non-coding RNA. NCBI's taxonomy places the organism in Eukaryota, Viridiplantae, Streptophyta, Magnoliopsida, Poales, Poaceae. The record is from Rfam.